RNAcentral lists this ribosomal RNA (705 nucleotides) under Salmonella enterica. Its description in RNAcentral is "partial 23S ribosomal RNA". It matches the Rfam family "Bacterial large subunit ribosomal RNA", at positions 2202 to 2901 of the family's 2925-position model. Lineage: Bacteria; Pseudomonadati; Pseudomonadota; Gammaproteobacteria; Enterobacterales; Enterobacteriaceae. The record is from RNAcentral.
ACCCUUUAAUGUUUGAUGUUCUAACGUGGACCCGUGAUCCGGGUUGCGGACAGUGUCUGGUGGGUAGUUUGACUGGGGCGGUCUCCUCCUAAAGAGUAACGGAGGAGCACGAAGGUUGGCUAAUCCUGGUCGGACAUCAGGAGGUUAGUGCAAUGGCAUAAGCCAGCUUGACUGCGAGCGUGACGGCGCGAGCAGGUGCGAAAGCAGGUCAUAGUGAUCCGGUGGUUCUGAAUGGAAGGGCCAUCGCUCAACGGAUAAAAGGUACUCCGGGGAUAACAGGCUGAUACCGCCCAAGAGUUCAUAUCGACGGCGGUGUUUGGCACCUCGAUGUCGGCUCAUCACAUCCUGGGGCUGAAGUAGGUCCCAAGGGUAUGGCUGUUCGCCAUUUAAAGUGGUACGCGAGCUGGGUUUAGAACGUCGUGAGACAGUUCGGUCCCUAUCUGCCGUGGGCGCUGGAGAACUGAGGGGGGCUGCUCCUAGUACGAGAGGACCGGAGUGGACGCAUCACUGGUGUUCGGGUUGUCAUGCCAAUGGCACUGCCCGGUAGCUAAAUGCGGAAGAGAUAAGUGCUGAAAGCAUCUAAGCACGAAACUUGCCCCGAGAUGAGUUCUCCCUGAGACUUAAAGUCUCCUGAAGGAACGUUGAAGACGACGACGUUGAUAGGCCGGGUGUGUAAGCGCAGCGAUGCGUUGAGCUAACCGGUAC